UAAACUUAGACAGUUACUUAACAAAAUUGUACGCCAGAGAACUACGAGCCACAGCUUAAAACUCAAAGGACUUGGCGGUGCUUUAUACCCCCUAGAGGAGCCUGUUCUGUAAUCGAUAAACCCCGAUCAACCUCACCAAUC
This 141-nucleotide ribosomal RNA is filed under the name Erinaceus concolor (southern white-breasted hedgehog). RNAcentral describes it as "partial small subunit ribosomal RNA". Lineage: Eukaryota; Metazoa; Chordata; Mammalia; Eulipotyphla; Erinaceidae. The record is from RNAcentral.